Molecule: non-coding RNA, 2668 nt
Organism: Pantherophis guttatus
Lineage: Eukaryota; Metazoa; Chordata; Lepidosauria; Squamata; Colubridae
Source: RefSeq, a predicted model, not a curated record
GUGGAGGCAGGGAGGUCGCUUUCGAAAAAGUCGCGUCUUCUCGCGCUGGCCCACAGAGCCCCCUUGCGAGCUCCGCCGGUACUGCUGCGGUCAGGGGAUGACCGAUUGGAGGGGUUCUCCGGGCUUUUUAGAGCUUUACAGCGGGCAUCUUUUCUGGGAAAAGCCGGGCGAGAGUCCUUCUCCUGGCAGACCUAACGACGAUUUAGAUACACUUCCUCGAGCAAUAUUCCCUUAAUGCUUUCGCAGCGCCGUGAGGUUGCUCAGUUCACCUCGAGAGUAAAAAUAAUACUUCCAAUCAGAGGCCAGAAUGAGUGAGAUGCCGAGAAAAGAGGGGGUCCCAAAGUGUUACAUCACUCUCCCGUAAAUGAUGUCUGUUUGAAAAACAAUGAUGACUAUGCUCAACUUCUGGGCAAAGUUCAAGAUUUCCAUGAUGCCCAGUCCUUAACAGCUCACAGAAUUAAAGCAAACCUUAAAACAGUAUUCUGCAACACACCUUUAAACAAAACAAGCUGGCGACUCCGCUGGGACUAGGUGCGAGGCGAUAUUUCGCUGAGGGCCGUUUCGACCCCUCGGGACCAUCGGGAAGUUGCUCCUGAACAUUCUCCAGGCGCCGCGGGGAUAAAAUCUCCGGGAGACAGCAGCGAUAGCCCUAUGGGACCGACGGAGCUCUGAUCGAGUCCAAGAACCCUGCGGUGAAGGAAAGAUGGUCUGAACAAAUUCCUGGCCAGGAAUCUAUGGAGUGGGAGCGUUUUAAGUUACCUUGAUGUAUAUCUGCCAAUGUAACCCGCUGUAAGCUAAAAAGAGGAUGGAGCACCUGCUCUCUUGAAUUAGUCCGGAACUUGGAUCCUGACGAGAGAUUGAAGAUCAUUGCGGAUCCAUGUGGGAGGAAAAUUGGGUGUGGGCACUUUGAGUAAUUGGGAUAGUAGCUUUAUUGAUCAUUGUGUUACAGAUAUAAGCAAUGGACAACCAGGGCCCAUUUGAUUUCUCAGCCGUUCCGAUCCCUAAUAUCUCCCCAACCGGCUGCGGAGUGUGAACCUCUUACAAAUGAAAGAAGUCCCUGCUUAGGACACCCUGGAAGCUACCUUUUGAUGCAAAGGAACAGAAAAGAGAAUUCUCUUUAAAUGUGUUUGUUUUGUAAUUGUGGGUGUGAAGGUUGUUGUUGCACUCACUGUAUUGAUUGUGUUUUAUGUAUAAGCUGUAAGGUAGAGUGUGACGUGAAAAUUAUAGAGGAGGUGUUAGUACAUUAUUUGGUAAUAAAUACUGAAGAGAUCCCCUUGUAAUAUUAUCUGAAAAUGAAAAAGCUGAAUAUACCCGAAAUCCCUAGCUAUGUAACAAAUAUCUUUGUCAAAUUGGCAGAAGACAUAGCCCACACUCUGAGUGUAUCAAAUUGUUUUGUAUGUGGAGGAACUAACAUGGGAGAAAAAUGGCCAUGGGAGGCCCAAGAAUUGAACAAUUCCAUAAUAUUAGAAAUGGAUCAGAAAGGUAACCUGUCAUAUAAUAAGGGUAAGGAUGGAGACUGGACAUUGACUACUAGUCUGGUAGGGAAUGUGUGUUUUCAGGGAAAAAUUGUGGCAGGCUGUCAUCAGGUAGGAAGCCUCAUAUGUACAGGCAAAUGGGAAAGUAAGGUAUGGUGGUCAGGAAGCAAGGCCACAGAGGGAACUGAUGAAAUGGCUCUGUUUAAGGUAAAUGGGUUAUCCUUUUUAAAGGAUCCAGAUAAUCAGACCCUUGAAUGGCUGGCUCCUGAGGGACUAUACUGGAUAUGUGGAAAGUUCAAUUUGACUAAUUGCUGCAUAGAAAUUGAUGAAGGCGGAAGUUAUUAAGGAAAUAACAGACAAAAUGGUUAAAAUAGCUCAUGUGCCAGUCCAGACUUGGAAAAGCCUUAAUUUACAGGAUAUGUUUUCAGGAUGGUGGCCAGAGUUACCUGGCCUGCAGGCCAUUUUUGGCCUGGUGGGAUUAGUAGCUGCAGGAUGUAUUUUUCUCCCAUGUAUUUUACCUGUUUGUUAAACCUAUUUCUAAAAGUCUAUCCUUGCUGGUGGAACGUAAAACAACUGCUCAGGUGAUGGCUAUGUGGGAUUACAGACGGCUCCAGCAGGAAGAGGACCUAUAGGUGUGACUCGUCUGGAUAAAAUAGAUGAGUCACAAAGGGGGGUAUGAGCCAGGCUAGGAUUCGAUAUUGGGAUAAAACUCAAAUAUUAGAAAUCCAAAUCUUUGGUCAAGACAGAAGUGCCUCUUCCGUGCCAAGGUGCUGAGAUAGCAGACGGUAUUUGACGUAGGUACAGAAUUGUAAAAGGGCAAACUGACCCUAAACAGAUACAUCCUGUUGUUUAAUGUUUAUUACACCCCAAAUGUCAUGUAUAUCUUAGAGAAGAAAUACUGCUUCCCUUACUGUCCUCUUUACUGCUCUUGAGGUGCCUUUGAGCCCCUUAUCUCCUCUUUAUUAUGUCUUGAGCUCCGGAGCUGAGAACCUGAGCCUGUGGGAAAAGGGCUGUUAUGUCUUUCCUAGAGAUAGAUUAAAGGGUAACCUCUACAUGUGAAAUGUCUCACUCUUCGUAAUAACUUUGCCUUUAUACUGUAUAAAUAUCGGGCCAAAAGCAGCCAUCAUUGUUCAGAUCCUUCGCUGUCUUUGGGCUGUUUGAACCUUGCGCAAUAAACUCUUUCCUGCAUUGAA